This 663-nucleotide long non-coding RNA is filed under the name Manacus vitellinus (golden-collared manakin). Its description in RNAcentral is "lncRNA (ENSMVIG00005004896.1)". The record is from RNAcentral. Lineage: Eukaryota; Metazoa; Chordata; Aves; Passeriformes; Pipridae.
CUCGAGGGCCAGGCAUGCUGCCAACUGCCCAGUCAAGGAGGGAUAGAGGUCAUGAAGACUAUGAUAGGAGGAAGUAACAACCCCGGAAGAGAGUAGUGACCCCCGGAGUGCUCCUGGCACAGGCACGCUCCAGUCCAUCAUCAUGCUGCAGAAGUGCAGACGUGAAAAUUUGGAAAUCCCUCCUUCUGGCGUGUGAUGGCCACAUACAUCAGAAUGAGACUGCAAACUCCCCAGAUAAAAUGCCUGAACCUGUGUGCUGGGACGAGGCACUCAGAACACUGAGGACCACGUUGCCUCUGCGGCGAUGCCCGCUAAGUGUUUUGCCUGCCGAACCUCACCAUGACCAGACUUGGAGCUGGACUCCUUGCCUUCCAAACACUUCUUCUGGGAUUGGUCACUCUGCUGUUCUCUGCUUUGAUAUUCUUCAGCACAUCUCCACAAGCAGUUUUAAGCUGGGUGGACCAGCAAAGAAAGCAAAAGAUCAGAGCAAAACCAAUCUGCAGCUGACUCUAGAAGGUUUUGGAGGAUUUUUCAAGGGUCCUCCAAAACAUUUUAAAAGACCUUGCUCUUUCAGUGAAUAUCCAAAUUACAGAAGUCAUGAAGUUAUGAUAAUGCACUGACUUCCUUCAUAUGAAAUGUAGGGGCUUUUUGACCUUUAACAGC